This 1515-nucleotide ribosomal RNA is filed under the name Triticum aestivum (bread wheat). Its description in RNAcentral is "partial small subunit ribosomal RNA". Lineage: Eukaryota; Viridiplantae; Streptophyta; Magnoliopsida; Poales; Poaceae. The record is from RNAcentral.
AUGGUUCUUAAGCUUGACUUCAGGAAAGCCUUUGAGUCUAUUUCCUGGCCUUCACUUCUGAAAAUCCUUAGGCACCGUGGCUUCCCUGAGCGCUUCUGUUCCUGGAUUGACGAUCUGCUCUCCACGGGCAGGACUGCAGUGCUUCCUAACGGGGUUCCUGGCAACUGGAUUCAAUGCAGGAAUGGUCUCCGUCAGGGCGACCCCAUUUCCCCUUACCUAUUCAUCAUUGUUACAGAUAUCUUGCAACAACUGAUCCUGUCGGCUGCCUCUGACCACACCAAUGAUCUGCACCACCCUGUCUACGAAGACUUGCCACCCACUAUCCUUCAGUACGCUGAUGACACGCUGAUCAUCGCCCAUGCAUCCAUCAUCGCUGCCCGCAAACUUAAGCAUAUCUUAGAUGACUUUGGCCUUGCUACGGGGCUGUGCAUCAACUUCUCUAAAACCACCUUCGUCCCCUUGCAUGUGGACACGCCGUGUGCCUUAGCGAUCUCUCAUGUCUUUGGCUGCGCCAUCUCCAGCUUCCCCCAAACGUAUCUUGGGCUGCCUUUCCCCCCCUACAAGCUCCCUCCAUCCGCUUGCCAACCACUUGUUACUUCCUACAGAUCAUUGCUCCCAGGCUGGUGUGCCAAGCUGCUCAACCGCGCUGCGAGGCUAGUACUCAUCUCCUCCGUUCUGGAUUCUCUUGCGACAUAUUUCCUGUCCGUCUUCAAGUUGCCAAUGAAGACCUUAAAAAUUCUAGAUGCGAUUAGACGGGCCUUCUUCUGGGCUGCCGAGGAUACGUGCACCGGAUCAAAAUGUUUGAUUGCUUGGGAAAAUGUUUGUAAACCGAAAUUUUUUGGUGGUCUAGGUAUUAAGAAUCUAGCGGCUCAGAAUAAUUGUCUACUUAUGAAGUUUGCCUACAAAUACCUAACCCAUGAUGCCUCUAACCCUCUGCCAUGGAUCUCCUGGGUAGAUAAACAACACCUCUGUAGCCUGCCACAUAUUGCAGCCUGCCCAAACCCCUCCUUCCUCACCAAAAUCAUCCAAACACAACUACAGCCACUGCUACAAAUGACAUUUGUACUUACAAAUAAUGGCCAGAAGACCUUCUUCUGGCUUGAUACUUGGCUCCUCCAAACCCCCAUAGCUGCCACCUUCCCGAGCCUCUACUCCCACUCCACCAAUGAGUACAUCCCUGUGGUGCACAUCAUGCGUUAUGGGCUACAAGCAAACCUAACGAACAUGCUCACCUCGGCCGCCUCGCGCGAGCUAGACGCUCUCUGUUUACUGUUGCAGGAUUUCCAACCGACGGAUGGCCCCGAUGAGCGGUUUCUCUUACAUGGUCAGCAGUUCUCGCCUAAGGCGGCCUACAAGAUCAUGUUGCAUGAAGAAGUGGAGGAUAAUCACGCUGACCUAAUAUGGAGGUCUCGGGCUCCUCAUAAAAUCAAGCUCUUUGCCUGGCUGUUGUUUCGUGGCCGGCUCAACACCAAGGCUAAUCUAGCGCAUAAGCACAUGUCUGAUUCAGCAGCCUGA